UCCGGGUUGGUCCCGGCGGUCCGGCCAGACUAAGUAACUGGCCGCGGGGGUUGCGCUCGUUGCGGGACUUAACCCAACACCUCACGGCACGAGCUGACGACAGCCGUGCAGCACCUGUGCGCGCUCCCUCGCGGGUCCCUCGGGUUUCCCCUCGGUACCACGUGCAUGUCAAGCCCGGGUAAGGUUCUUCGCGUUGCAUCGAAUUAAACCACACGCUCCGCUGCUUGUGCGGGCCCCCGUCAAUUCCUUUGAGUUUUAGCCUUGCGGCCGUACUCCCCAGGCGGGGUGCUUAUCGCGUUGGCUGCGGCACCGCGGGGGUCGAUACCCGCGACACCUAGCACCCAUCGUUUACGGCGUGGACUAC
RNAcentral lists this unclassified non-coding RNA (364 nucleotides) under uncultured Chloroflexota bacterium. RNAcentral's name for it is "uncultured Chloroflexi bacterium contains 16S-23S intergenic spacer region". The record is from RNAcentral. Lineage: Bacteria; Bacillati; Chloroflexota.